Molecule: ribosomal RNA, 433 nt
Filed under: uncultured bacterium
Lineage: Bacteria
Description: partial 16S ribosomal RNA
Rfam family: Bacterial small subunit ribosomal RNA
Source: RNAcentral
AACGAACGCUGGCGGCAUGCCUAACACAUGCAAGUCGAACGAGACCUUCGGGUCUAGUGGCGCACGGGUGCGUAACGCGUGGGAACCUGCCCUUAGGUUCGGAAUAACUCCCCGAAAGGGGUGCUAAUACCGGAUAAUGUCUUCGGACCAAAGAUUUAUUGCCUUUGGAUGGGCCCGCGUUGGAUUAGCUAGUUGGUAGGGUAAAAGCCUACCAAGGCGACGAUCCAUAGCUGGUCUGAGAGGAUGAUCAGCCACACUGGGACUGAGACACGGCCCAGACUCCUACGGGAGGCAGGAGUGGGGAAUAUUGGACAAUGGGCGAAAGCAUGAUGCAGCAAUGCCGCGUGAGUGAUGAAGGCCUUAGGGUUGUAAAGCUCUUUUAACCGGGAUGAUAAUGACGGUACCGGGAGAAUAAGCUCCGGCUAACUACGUG